GAUCCUGGCUUAGGAUGAACGCUAGCGACAGGCUUAACACAUGCAAGUCGAGGGGCAGCAUAAAAGUAGCAAUACUUGGUGGCGACCGGCGCACGGGUGAGUAACGCGUAUGCAACCUACCUAUCAGAGGGGAAUAACCCGGCGAAAGUCGGACUAAUACCGCAUAAAACAGGGACACCGCAUGGUGAUAUUUGUUAAAGAAAUUCGCUGAUAGAUGGGCAUGCGUUCCAUUAGGUAGUUGGUGAGGUAACGGCUCACCAAGCCGACGAUGGAUAGGGGAACUGAGGGGUUGGUCCCCCACACUGGUACUGAGACACGGACCAGACUCCUACGGGAGGCAGCAGUGAGGAAUAUUGGUCAAUGGGCGAGAGCCUGAACCAGCCAAGUCGCGUGAAGGAAGAAGGAUCUAUGGUUCGUAAACUUCUUUUGCAGGGGAAUAAAGUGCAGGACGUGUCCUGUUUUGUAUGUACCCUGAGAAUAAGGAUCGGCUAACUCCGUGCCAGCCGCGGC
Molecule: ribosomal RNA, 510 nt
Filed under: uncultured bacterium
Lineage: Bacteria
Description: bacterial SSU rRNA
Rfam family: Bacterial small subunit ribosomal RNA
Source: RNAcentral